RNAcentral lists this ribosomal RNA (292 nucleotides) under uncultured bacterium. RNAcentral's name for it is "partial 16S ribosomal RNA". It matches the Rfam family "Bacterial small subunit ribosomal RNA", at positions 505 to 796 of the family's 1533-position model. The record is from RNAcentral.
GUGCCAGCAGCCGCGGUAACACGUAGGAUGCAAGCGUUAUUCGGAUUUACUGGGCGUAAAGCGCGUGUAGGCGGUUAGGAGAGUUGGAUGUGAAAGCUCCCGGCUUAACUGGGAGAGGUCGUUCAAAACUUCCUGACUAGAGUUUGGUAGAGGAAAAUGGAAUUCCGGGUGUAGUGGUGAAAUGCGUAGAUAUCCGGAGGAACACCAGUGGCGAAAGCGAUUUUCUGGACCGAUACUGACGCUCAGACGCGAAAGCUAGGGUAGCAAACGGGAUUAGAAACCCCCGUAGUCC